This 497-nucleotide ribosomal RNA is filed under the name uncultured bacterium. Its description in RNAcentral is "partial 16S ribosomal RNA". It matches the Rfam family "Bacterial small subunit ribosomal RNA", at positions 28 to 507 of the family's 1533-position model. The record is from RNAcentral.
GAUGAACGCUGGCGGCGUGCCUAAUACAUGCAAGUCGAGCGAACAGACGAGGAGCUUGCUCCUCUGACGUUAGCGGCGGACGGGUGAGUAACACGUGGAUAACCUACCUAUAAGACUGGGAUAACUUCGGGAAACCGGAGCUAAUACCGGAUAAUAUAUUGAACCGCAUGGUUCAAUAGUGAAAGACGGUUUUGCUGUCACUUAUAGAUGGAUCCGCGACGCAUUAGCUAGUUGGUAGGGUAACGGCUUACCAAGGCAACGAUGCGUAGCCGACCUGAGAGGACGAGCGGCAAAACGGGGACGGAGAGAAGGCCAAGACGCCUACGGGAGGAAGCAGGGGGGAAUGUUGGAGAAUGGGGGAAACCUUGAGACAGAAAGGCCGCGUGAGGGAAGAAGGCCUUCGGGUUGGAAACCGCUUUUGUGCGGGAAGAAAAGCUCUGGGCGAAGACCCCGGGGGGAUGACGGUACCGGAAGAAUAAGCAAAGGAUAAAUACGUG